Maylandia zebra (zebra mbuna) is the source of this 242-nucleotide non-coding RNA. Lineage: Eukaryota; Metazoa; Chordata; Actinopteri; Cichliformes; Cichlidae. The record is from RefSeq and is a predicted model, not a curated record.
UGGUGGUACCGAGCAGUGUUUUGGGGCGCAGAAGAAGAAUUUCGCAGAAAGAACUUCCUGUUGUGAAGCUAACCCCAGCACAGCAUGUGUGUCGUUUGUGUUCACGGUUUAAAGAAGAUUAUUGUGUUUUCGUCUACUUGUUACCCAGGCUGACAGCAGCUUCACUGCCUCAGAACAUUGUGUGCUUUGGAGAAACAGCAGAGGAUCAACAAAGGUUCAGUUUUAAAUCCAAACAACAUGGA